AGUAGCAACAGAGCAACUCUUGGAAAAAGAUGAGGAACCCAAAUCACAGAAAGAUGAAGAUUCAAAUAAGAUUACUGAGGAAGAAGCAACAAAGCAACCACUAGGAAAAAGUAACCAAGGGAGUCCUCAUAAGAUGUCCCCCUCACAGACAGUUGAAGAUUCAACUGAGGAUCCUGAGGAAGAAGCAGAAAAGCAGCCAGCAGAAAAAAAUAACCAAAAAAGUCAUUAUCAGAAAACAAAUAAUGAUAAGAACUUAUCACAGAAAUUUGAAGAUUCCAGUAAGGACCCUGAGG
Molecule: long non-coding RNA, 293 nt
Organism: Acomys russatus (golden spiny mouse)
Lineage: Eukaryota; Metazoa; Chordata; Mammalia; Rodentia; Muridae
Exons: 6
Source: RefSeq, a predicted model, not a curated record